Molecule: ribosomal RNA, 492 nt
Filed under: uncultured bacterium
Lineage: Bacteria
Description: partial 16S ribosomal RNA
Rfam family: Bacterial small subunit ribosomal RNA
Source: RNAcentral
AGUGAACGCUGGCGGUAGGCCUAACACAUGCAAGUCGAACGGCAGCACAGUAAGCGCUUGCUCUUACGGGUGGCGAGUGGCGGGCGGGUGACGAAUACAUCGCCAUCUACUUUUACGUGGGGGAUUACGUAGGGCCACUUACGCUAAUACCUCAUACGACCUACGGGUGAAAGCAGGGGAUCUUCGCACCUUGCGCGACUGAAUGAGCCGAUGUCGGAUUAGCUAGUUGGCGGGGUAAAGGCCCACCAAGGCGACGAUCCGUAGCUGGUCUGAGAGGAUGAUCGGCCACACUGGAACUGAGACACGGUCCAGACUCCUACGGGAGGCAGCAGUGGGGAAUAUUGGACAAUGGGCGCAAGCCUGAUCCAGCCAUACCGCGUGGGUGAAGAAGGCCUUCGGGUUGUAAAGCCCUUUUGUUGGGAAAGAAAAGCAGCAGGUUAAUACCCCGCUGUUCUGACGGUACCCAAAGAGUAAGCACCGGCUAACUUCGUG